RNAcentral lists this microRNA precursor (61 nucleotides) under Pristionchus pacificus. RNAcentral's name for it is "mir-8364 microRNA precursor family". It matches the Rfam family "mir-8364 microRNA precursor family". Lineage: Eukaryota; Metazoa; Nematoda; Chromadorea; Rhabditida; Neodiplogasteridae. The record is from Rfam by way of RNAcentral.
UCUUCAUUUCGCACACUCUCUCACCGGUCAGUGUGGCGGGAAAGCGUGUGAAAGGAAGAGA